This 311-nucleotide long non-coding RNA is filed under the name Brassica napus (rape). RNAcentral describes it as "long non-coding RNA (BNAP_LNC022617)". Lineage: Eukaryota; Viridiplantae; Streptophyta; Magnoliopsida; Brassicales; Brassicaceae. The record is from RNAcentral.
CGGGUAGAAGACUCUUCUUGCAUCUUAACCAACUCAACAUUGUGCCGUCUCUGAGCUUCAUGAUCCGUCUGCAAAAGUUUCAAGUCGAACACUUUCUCAGUGAAGUAAGAUCCUUUCAACAAUUAUAAAGUAAGAUCCUUUCAACAAUUAAACAUAUGUUCGAUGUUUACUUGAUUUUACCUGCAGUCGCUUCCUCGCCAACUCAUCUUCGUAUCGAAGGUUCUGAGCUUUUGCUUGUGCCUGCUGCUGCAGUAGAUUUCUCUGAUCCUCAGCCAAUUUCUGCUGUCUUUCCUGCCCGAUCACAUCCCCAU